Non-coding RNA from Podarcis lilfordi (Lilford's wall lizard), 76 nucleotides. NCBI's taxonomy places the organism in Eukaryota, Metazoa, Chordata, Lepidosauria, Squamata, Lacertidae. The record is from the annotation of a GenBank genome assembly.
AUUGGGAUAGCUCAGCUGAUAGAGCAUGAGACUGUUAAUCUCAGGUCCAUGGGUUCAAGCCCCACAUUGGGCAAUA